Molecule: non-coding RNA, 1905 nt
Organism: Cinara cedri
Lineage: Eukaryota; Metazoa; Arthropoda; Insecta; Hemiptera; Aphididae
Source: the annotation of a GenBank genome assembly
AUCUACAUUAUUUAUUUGCAUAAACUAUGUCAACACAAUACAAAUUACACUGCACACUCAAAAGUAGCACUGCCAUUAAAACUAUGGUGCUGAAAGACGUCAUGACGUAAGAAAACUCUUUACCGAUCAAUUUGCUACGUCAUACAAUUGAACUGGAGCAAAAGGAAAAAACCGCCAUCGUGUUUACGCACGUCUAAGAUAAUCAUUGGUAAGAUAAUUGUAUUGAUGUAUUAAUACGAUUUGUAUAUAAUUAAGUACAAUCGUUCAUAUUUUCAUAUAGAUGCAUAUCUAUUACACACUGUUGAUACCCCCAAAGUAGUGUUGUAUCACACAUUUUACAAAAUGUCCAAGAAAAACAAUAAACACAAACAAAUAUUCAAAUUUUGGAUUUCAAAAAUUGUAAGUUUAUAAAACAUUUUUUCAAUCUAUUAGGUUCGUUUUUAAAAUCCACUUAUUUAAUUUUCAAGUAAUUCUUUGUGUUGACCGUCAGAAAUGGGUUGGAGAAAAAAAAAAAUCAAACGUGACAGACUUAUGAUAAAUCCGGUAAGUUUUAAAACGCGGUCCGAAAAUCGAUUGACAUCGUAUUUAUGUGUAUAUUUAUACGUACAGAACGAAAGUGAUAUUCGUUCAAUCGUAUAAGUAACGAUAUGGACACAUUUAUAUCAAAAUUCGUUUUCUUUGUUCGCCCGCGCCACAAGGAAAACAAAUGUAUACAUAUAUUUUUUUUAACACUAUAUUAAUAAAUUGUUCGCCGGGAGGGGGGGGGGAAACAACCACCGUCCAGAAUCACGUCCGUCCGUUAUGCGGCGCACGCCUACAGUGUGUGCACGCGCGGUCAUCACUCACGGCGUAACGCGAAACAUUGCAAGUACGCAGCGGUCCGCGGGAACGCCCGGGCCCCGUAGGUUUCCGCGGACUCGGCGGAUUCCUCCGGCGAGGUCAGCAAUGUCUCGACCCCAACGCAUCCCCAUUCGCGUCCGCUGUCCGUUCGGAUUACGUGAUAAAUAUACGUUAUUAAAAUAACGAAAAAAAUCACCACACGCGGUCGACAUCGAACGUCCAUUGACGUUGCCGGUCGUGUAUGGGCCGCUUUAUGAUCAUAAACAUUGUUGAUAUUGAAAAUAUCGAGUCCCGUAAAAUCGCGUAAUCCGUUAUUAUCGUACUGCCGCACGUAACCGUCACAUUUCCGACGGCGGCACAGAACACGUGCAGUCACAGUACUCGGCAGCGAUUAGCGACUGGUUAAGACAAUAGUUGCGCGACCACCGGUGUGUCUAUAUUUUGUUUUGGUGCGCGGGCAUUUCUAGCAUUUCGAUAACUGUGUUUUCUGUUUUCUUGUUCUACAUGUGUACGGAUUUCGUAUUAAAGUUGAUAAUCGAAGAACUCGAUAUACAAGUAAUCAAUAUGACUUUUUUUUCAUUAGUUCUGAAACCAAGUAAAACGGCAAUGCUUACGUACGUCAAACAAACCAUUGAUGUGCAAACUACCGUACACUUAACCAGGGCCAUUCUGAAUUCCAAUGAUACAAAUUGUGGGCGGGUCACUUUGAAAAUAAUGUUUCCGGUAUCGAGCAACCCGCAGUCACAACAAGAAAUACAGGUUUGUCACUUAGACGAAAGCAAUAGUUACCAGUCCAAUAUUGAUGUACAAUUGGAUAAAGGAUCAACUUAUACGUUUAUUAGUGAAAAACCAUGCACCAUAUAUCUUAGCGGCUAUUACUUAUAAUUGAAAAUUACGUUUCUGUGAUCAAUUUUGAUUCAGUUAAAUUAACAUAAUAAUUAAUAAUAGUCUCAAAAGUAAUAUAAUAUUGGUACUGUUCGUAUGUGUUUAAUAUUUUGAAGAAAAGACUGCAUUAUCUGUUUACUAAUUAAUUCUGUAGAUUAAUAGUUAUGACUUAUUAGAUGG